This 164-nucleotide small nuclear RNA is filed under the name Macaca fascicularis (crab-eating macaque). RNAcentral describes it as "U1 spliceosomal RNA (ENSMFAG00000030692.2)". It matches the Rfam family "U1 spliceosomal RNA". Rfam says of the family: U1 is a small nuclear RNA (snRNA) component of the spliceosome (involved in pre-mRNA splicing). The record is from Rfam by way of RNAcentral. Lineage: Eukaryota; Metazoa; Chordata; Mammalia; Primates; Cercopithecidae.
AUACUUACCUGGCAGGCGAGAUACCAUGAUCAUGAAGGUGAUUUUCCCAGGGCGAGGCUUAUCCAUUGCACUCCAGAUGUGCUGACCCCUGCGAUUUCCCCAAAUGUGGGAAACUCGACUGCAUAAUUUGUGGUAGUGGAGGACUGCAUUCAUGCUUUCCUCUG